UUCCCACUCUAUGAAAGCUGUGCCUUCGGUCAUCAUUCUCCUUAACAACGUCAGCAAGCAAGCGAUAGAAACGAAGCGAGCGUGGCGAUGGAACAGACAUACCUUCAUCAUGAUCAAGCCCGACGGCGUCCAACGCGGCCUGUUGAAAGGUUGGAGAAAUCAUUAGUAGGUUUGAGAAAAAGGGUUUCUACUUGAAAGGGUUGAAGUUGGUCGGCGUGGAACGCUCCUUUGCGGAGAAACACUACGUCGACCUCUCCACGAAGCCUUUCUUUGGUUCCCUUGUGGAGUACAUCAUCUC
Molecule: long non-coding RNA, 298 nt
Organism: Zingiber officinale
Lineage: Eukaryota; Viridiplantae; Streptophyta; Magnoliopsida; Zingiberales; Zingiberaceae
Exons: 3
Source: RefSeq, a predicted model, not a curated record